Pimephales promelas (fathead minnow) is the source of this 576-nucleotide long non-coding RNA. RefSeq lists it as uncharacterized. The record is from RefSeq and is a predicted model, not a curated record. NCBI's taxonomy places the organism in Eukaryota, Metazoa, Chordata, Actinopteri, Cypriniformes, Leuciscidae.
CCGUUGCGUGGCAGCAGAUAAGAUGCCAGAGCAUUGUGGAGCAUUUUCCUUUUCUAAUCGCCGAACCAUCGAGAAUAGGGCUUUUCACAACUCUUCACCUGUCAUUCAGAUUGCACUGAGCGGAGCGGAUGACCGGUUUAAGAUGGCGGCUCCAAUUCUCGCCAGGAGCGGUCGAGGGCGUCUACCUAUUUGAUGUCUAUGGGUGUGUGUACCACCAGUGAGGCUACUACUAAAUGGAUAGACAUAAAUAAAUAAAAAGAAUUUCAGGAUUAGUCAGCUGUUUCCAAAUCAAUGAGGGGAAGUGGACAAACCAAGCAUUUCCUGUUCAACACCAUGACAAACUCUGCCAAACUGAACUUUACACGGAACGACGAAUCAGAGUUAAUUGCCGGAGGCUUAGAUGAAGUGUCACACUGAAGCAUUACAUUGACGUGACCAUGUGAGCAGAGACAAGGAUCUACAUGGAGGUCUUUUUUCCACUUGCUGCUAUUACACAACAAUACUCUGUCUGCCUCUCCCAUUACACCACAUUUACACAAUCCAAUUGUCAAUAAAUAUGAGAAGCUUUUACUGUCA